UUUACGGCUCCACCAAGGCUGGCCCCGAGAUUUGCGCACAAUGAGCGGCUGAGGAUGGAAGGGCUGCAAGAUCCACCGCCUUACUUAGCUGGGACCCGGCCCCACCUCCUCUACAGCCGACCCUGUCUCCACCCGUGCGGCUGAUUCAGGCACACCGGCUCUCGUCGCCUUGGUGGCCCUCCCCAGCCCUCCUCCGCGCCUGCUCCGGGUGGCGCUCCGCUGGGCUCCUCGUGCGCCUGUCCGCGACCGCACCCACCUCAUCCUGGCACCCCCAUCGUGGCAUCACGUGUUCCCUCAUCUGUCCUCAUGGCUGGCGUGCCCCUCUGCGGUGAGACCUGCAGAACAGGAAUUGGUGCCGGGUCAGCAGCCGGCGAUGAAGCCGGACGAAGCCUGCAAACCCCACCCAUACGCCAGCUUCACAUAGCUCCUCUCCAUUGCACAGCAGCGUGGGGAAGCACCGUUCUCUACCCUCCAAGUAAGAAGCUGACUGUUGGGGCACAGGGGAGAUCCUAUAGCAUGGCUCUGCUUCUGGGCACGCGCAGAAACAUUCCCAAAUGAAUUUUUUUGUUGUUGUU
Gorilla gorilla gorilla (western lowland gorilla) is the source of this 575-nucleotide long non-coding RNA. RefSeq lists it as uncharacterized. The record is from RefSeq and is a predicted model, not a curated record. NCBI's taxonomy places the organism in Eukaryota, Metazoa, Chordata, Mammalia, Primates, Hominidae. The transcript has 2 exons.